Non-coding RNA from Biomphalaria pfeifferi, 782 nucleotides. The record is from the annotation of a GenBank genome assembly. NCBI's taxonomy places the organism in Eukaryota, Metazoa, Mollusca, Gastropoda, Planorbidae.
UCAACUCCCUCUGUCUGUCUGGUAAAAAGUGUUUACAAGUUAUUUCUUCCACAUUCAUUUUUGGAUCAAGCUGAAACUUCGCACAAUUAUUCAUUGACAUAGACAAGAUAUGAAUCAAUAAAAAAAAAGUAACCAAUUAGACUAUUAAUUACUGGUAAUUCAUUAUUUUGUUUGAUAUCAACAAGGGAAACUAAAACUUCAGUAUUCAUAGAUAUGGUUAAGUUUGUUGGGUUUAGUCCCCUUAAAUAAUUGUUAACGCUAUUUCUCACGCAUUCUUCGAUCAAGUUGAUACUUUAAAUAAUUAUGUAUUGUACCUGAAAACAUCAAUAAAUAAUGUACUCAAUUGGUCAAUUAAUUAUUGGUAAUUAAUUAUUUUGUUUGAUAUUGAAUAAGGGAAACAGCUAGUACAUUAUUGAUAGAUAAUUUUAAAAGCGGGGUACUUCCCUUUAGAUAUGCUUUUUUUUAAAAUAAAAAAUUUAUUUUUUCUAUUUCACUCGUUUGAUGCCACGUUUAUAAGCUAUAUUUCAUUAUACUUUAUUAUUUGUUUGCUAUUUAUAAUUACAGUUCUUUAUACUUUGAAAUAUUUCAUUUUACAUUAAUAUAUUUUAUUAUUAUUUAAAUACAUCAUUAUACCUCAUUUUUAUGAUAACAAAUAUCUCUCCAUAUAUAAUUAAAUAUUUAUAUUAACCUCUCACAUUAUGCAAAUAUGUAAAGUCAAUUUUAGUAGUUUAAUAGUUAUGACUUCUUAACGUUUCGUUAACUUUAAAGCCGCAUAACAUGUC